Molecule: non-coding RNA, 82 nt
Organism: Acanthosepion pharaonis
Lineage: Eukaryota; Metazoa; Mollusca; Cephalopoda; Sepiida; Sepiidae
Source: the annotation of a GenBank genome assembly
UCGUCCGAUCACCGAAGUUAAGCAACGUCGGGCUUGGUCAGUACCUAGAUGGGUGACCGCAUGGGAAUACCUCGUGCUGUAA